This 238-nucleotide unclassified non-coding RNA is filed under the name Hevea brasiliensis (rubber tree). The record is from RNAcentral. Lineage: Eukaryota; Viridiplantae; Streptophyta; Magnoliopsida; Malpighiales; Euphorbiaceae.
GAUUUUAAGCACAAGAGAUCACUUAAAGAUCACAUCAAGGCUUUUGGGAAUGGCCAUGCAGCCUAUGGCAUUGCUGGAUUUGAAGAAGAAGAUGAACCUGCAUCUGAAGUAGAACAAGAUAAUGAGUCCAUGCAGUGAAGUAGAAGAUCAUUAGUGAAGAAUUGUCUUAAUUUUAUAUUUAAUGAGCUUAUAUUGGAAUUCAUAUAUAUCCCAGGCUUUUGAAGUAAGAACUGUAUAA